This 214-nucleotide long non-coding RNA is filed under the name Elaeis guineensis (African oil palm). RNAcentral's name for it is "long non-coding RNA (EGUI_LNC044341)". Lineage: Eukaryota; Viridiplantae; Streptophyta; Magnoliopsida; Arecales; Arecaceae. The record is from RNAcentral.
CCUCUCAAUAUCAAAAAUUCUACCACUGAACCUAAGCAAAGAGCUCUCUACACCCUUUAGUCUAGAGCUCAGGUCAGACAAAAGCUGCAUCAAUGAGGAUAUGUGUGGCACAACAAAAAAAUCUGAGAAAGAGUCAGAAAAAAAACUCGAUGGAGGCUGACGAUAUUGCUGCUGCACCAGCUGGAGGAUCUACUGCUGAAACUGAUGAAACUGC